RNAcentral lists this non-coding RNA (103 nucleotides) under Clostridium acetobutylicum. RNAcentral's name for it is "SAM-I sequence". It matches the Rfam family "SAM riboswitch aptamer (S box leader)". Rfam says of the family: The SAM riboswitch is found upstream of a number of genes which code for proteins involved in methionine or cysteine biosynthesis in Gram-positive bacteria. The SAM riboswitch acts at the level of transcription termination control. The predicted structure consists of a complex stem-loop region followed by a single stem loop terminator region. The record is from RNAcentral. RNAcentral also lists the same sequence under 1 other name. Lineage: Bacteria; Bacillati; Bacillota; Clostridia; Eubacteriales; Clostridiaceae.
UUCUUAUCAAGAGUGACGGAGGGAUAGGCCCUAUGAAGUCCGGCAACAUCCAAUUAUUUUGGAGAUGUGCUAAUUCCUACAGGUUUAUCCUGAGAGAUGAGAA